UGAACAUCUCAAAAUCAUUUCGAUGGUUUAGGAAGGCUGGGCUUUUGUUGUGAGAAAUCAUCACGACUGGCCUGAAAUUUGUAUCAAGUACAAUGCAAGAAUCUUUGUAGAUGCUUUGUGGCUAAAGACGAAAAGCUAAUUAGUUGACUGCGGUCAAAUUUGCUAACUAGUCUUCAAAAACUUGGCAUGUCUACAUCCACA
Molecule: unclassified non-coding RNA, 201 nt
Filed under: uncultured Endogonomycetes
Lineage: Eukaryota; Fungi; Mucoromycota; Endogonomycetes
Description: sequence contains ITS2
Source: RNAcentral